This 253-nucleotide ribosomal RNA is filed under the name uncultured bacterium. Its description in RNAcentral is "partial 16S ribosomal RNA". It matches the Rfam family "Bacterial small subunit ribosomal RNA", at positions 524 to 776 of the family's 1533-position model. The record is from RNAcentral.
UACGUAGGGUGCGAGCGUUAAUCGGAAUUACUGGGCGUAAAGCGUGCGCAGGCGGUGAUGUAAGACAGGUGUGAAAUCCCCGGGCUUAACCUGGGAACUGCAUUUGUGACUGCAUCGCUGGAGUGCGGCAGAGGGGGAUGGAAUUCCGCGUGUAGCAGUGAAAUGCGUAGAUAUGCAGAGGAACACCGAUGGCGAAGGCAAUCCCCUGGGCCUGCACUGACGCUCAUGCACGAAAGCGUGGGUAGCAAACAGG